UGCUUUGAGGGCUUGGAGGAGAACAGAUUCCCAAACCUGGCCCAUGAUCAAUGUAUUUGGGUAUUUGAACUAAAUCCAGAUUCCCUGGCUUCCCCUGAGGCCUGCUGAAUCCCUUGGGGUGGGGCCUGGGAAUCCGCGUUUUCCAGCGGGCUUCUCAGGUAGUUGGAUGGUCCCUGAGUGGGUUCCCACGACCCCAUGAAACAAGACCCUAGAAAACGCAAGGCAAAGCGGCCUGGCGAGUGGCCAAUAGUCCACAGGAACUGAAUGUGAUCAGAGCGAGACCUGGCAUCAACUAGGCAGGGGAGGCGCAGAGCCAUUCUGAGGAAGAGACCCAGCCGGAACCCAGGGAGGAGCGGACUGUGAAAACUGGGCAGAAGCGUGCGGCGACUCCGAAGACACUGCCAGGAAACCCUCCCCGGUCCUCCUGGUGGGCCCUGUAGCAGCCGCAGGGGUCGGUUCUCACCCUCUGGUCCCAGCCAGGUUGUCUUGGAGUCAGCUAAUGGGCAAGGCCCUUAGCUCUCUUAGGAUCUGAGGAUGGGAGGGGCUGCGUUUUACCAGCGGAUCUGCACGUGUGCAGGCUGGGUGUUGAGACUUGAUUGGUGUCAGCUGGACUGCCUGCCCGUGAUGCACAGAAGCUGCUGUAAGAAACAGGGUCCAUGUCUCCAGGGAGCAGGCCCCCGUUCUGAGGCCACAACCCCGAGGGCAGUUUCCGCCUGCAGAGUCCUCCCUCUCGCACCGGCUCACCUCGUGGUGAAUCCCUUGGCUACGGUUUGGUGUGAGAAAAGAGAUGGGUGUUUCACUCCCUGCUGCAUCCCUGGUGACGGCCCUGGCAUUUCAGGGCAUGAGAUCUUUGCUUAAAGGUUUUGCUGUGGUCACUGCACAGGGGGUGGGGUCCCUUGGUGCAAUUUAUCAGAUUCUGCGGAGUGGAUGACAUCAGCAGGGUUCCUCUCCAGUGGGGAUUAUCUGAGACCUUUCCACAUGCCCGCACCCACAGUCCGCUCCCUCAUGGCAGCAUGAACUCAGGAGGCGGGUGUUCCCACAGUCAUUACAUUUGCAGGGCCUCUCUAUGUGCACUCUGAUGCCUGAGGACCAGCGCUUCCACGGUGUGGCCACGUCCAGUGCUGCUCAUUGGCUUCUCUCCUGCGGGAAUGUUCUGAUCCCGAAUGGAGCCUGAGCAUGUGCGAAGCCCUUCCUACGUUCACAAGGUGCUUCUCCAGUGUUCCAUUACAUCUCACCUAUGCACACGACGUGCAUACAGUUUCCACCGGCUGUGCGUGUCCCCAGAAGUCACAUUCACGGCGUUUCUCUCUGGGAGGAAUUCUCCCGUGCAUGGCUGCUCUGAGCUCUGAGACCGUUUGCACCUGCGGCCACGCGUGGGCUCCUUGGGGCUUACAAACCAGGCUGGACUCCUGAAGCCCUAGCUGCACUUGGCACGCGGCGAGGUUUUUCUACAAAAUCUCAUCUCAGCCAUCUGAGUCCUUCACCAUUUAUCUUAUGAAUCCGCUCAAACGUACAAGGAAGGCCUCUCUGCCCUCCUGCUCCAGGGAGGAGGUUUUGACCCUCAGCUCCACUUCUGCGGCUGGCCCGGUCUCCGCAAACCUUUUUCUGCUUGGCCAGCUGGUGCCGUGCUAGGCUUUCCCACUAGGGGCGGCAGAGAAAGCAAGCGCGCGAGGCUGCGGAGGAGAGAGGGGCAAACACUCUUUUCGGUUUGCUUCCGGUUUUUUCCUCAGGCUUCCGGUCUGUUUGGUGCCCUGGUCGCUUGUCUUCCGCACUCUGCUGCUUCGCCCCGGCAAGAGCACUUCCUUCCGCGGCUGCUAAAACCGGUGCGCGGGUUCCCAACUUCGCAGAAGCAGCUUCAUCGGCCCCCCGGUAGAGACCUCAGAUCGCAGCCAUCGACGCCCCGCCGGGGGGUCUGUCCCCACCCUCGGGGCCAGCUCACCACGAGUCAGGCCCUGUGCUGUGUGCUGGGAUGAAGCAGUGACUUACACAGGCCUGGACCUGUCCUUGUGAAGAGUGCGUCUGUGACACAGAUACUGUGCCAUGUGGCAAAGUAAGCACAUGGGACAGCAGAGCCUUGUUUGCCAUUAAAGUAAUAUCACAAGUCUGUUAAGGUUGGAAAAUCAAGUGAACAUGCUGAAAAGUUAUGGGGAACGUAGUCUCAUAGCUGGGGGAGCUGGGGGCCUUGUCAAUUGGUUCCCCCAGUCUGGAGAGCAAUCUGAGAGUAAGCAGUGGCAUGUGUGUGCUGAGUGUGUCUGUGGGGGUGUUUUUGGAUAAAAUUAACAUUUGAAUUUGUGAACUGAAUGAAGCAGAGUGCCCUUCAUAAUGUGGGUGGGCCUCAUUCAAUUAGUUCAAGGCCCGCAUAGGAACUACCUCCUGCCUGCCUGAACCGGGACUUACGUCUUUUCUUGCCUUCAGACUGGGAGACAUCAGCUCUUUGUGGGUCUCAAGUCUGCUGGCUUUCAACCAGCUCUUCUGCUUGAAAGCUGCAGGUCUUGGGACUGCCCAGCCCCCAUAACCCUGUGAGUGCAUUCCUGAUAAUAACCCUCUUCCUCUUGCCCUCCCCCACCCCACACCAUUGGUUCUGUUUCUCUGGAGAACCCUAACACAUCAUUUACUAAUCAGGAAACAGAUUCAGAGACAUUAAUAACUUAUCCAACCUCACAGUUAACUGUAGAGUUGGGCUUGAAAUUCCAAGGUUGAUUUUCUUAGCCAAUACACCAUGCUACAUAUAUGUAUGUAAAAAACCCUUGUGAAC
Nomascus leucogenys (northern white-cheeked gibbon) is the source of this 2755-nucleotide long non-coding RNA. RefSeq lists it as uncharacterized. The record is from RefSeq and is a predicted model, not a curated record. Lineage: Eukaryota; Metazoa; Chordata; Mammalia; Primates; Hylobatidae. The transcript is spliced from 2 exons.